CGGAGGAAAAGAAACCAACAGGGAUUACCUCAGUAACGGCGAGUGAAGCGGUAACAGCUCAAAUUUGAAAUCUGGCCUCACGGUCCGAGUUGUAAUUUGUAGAGGAUGCUUCGAGCAUGGUCUGGCCUAAGUUCCUUGGAACAGGACGUCAUAGAGGGUGAGAAUCCCGUAUGCGGCCAGGUGCCUACGCUCAUGUGAAGCUCCUUCGACGAGUCGAGUUGUUUGGGAAUGCAGCUCAAAAUGGGUGGUAAAUUUCAUCUAAAGCUAAAUAUUGGCCAGAGACCGAUAGCGCACAAGUAGAGUGAUCGAAAGAUGAAAAGCACUUUGGAAAGAGAGUUAAACAGUACGUGAAAUUGUUGAAAGGGAAGCGCUUGCAACCAGACUUGCGCGCGGCCGAUCAUCCGGUGUUCUCACCGGUGCACUCGGCCGUGCUCAGGCCAGCAUCGGUUUUGGCGGCUGGAUAAAGGCCCUAGGAAUGUAGCUCCUCUCGGGGAGUGUUAUAGCCUAGGGUGCAAUGCAGCCUGCUGGGACCGAGGACCGCGCUUCGGCUAGGAUGCUGGCGUAAUGGUUGUAAGCGGCCCGUCUUGA
This 588-nucleotide ribosomal RNA is filed under the name Onygenales sp. FMCC-3. RNAcentral's name for it is "eukaryotic LSU rRNA". It matches the Rfam family "Eukaryotic large subunit ribosomal RNA", at positions 51 to 657 of the family's 3401-position model. The record is from RNAcentral. Lineage: Eukaryota; Fungi; Ascomycota; Eurotiomycetes; Onygenales.